RNAcentral lists this non-coding RNA (152 nucleotides) under unclassified sequences. RNAcentral's name for it is "IS605-orfB-II RNA". It matches the Rfam family "IS605-orfB-II RNA". The record is from Rfam by way of RNAcentral.
CAUGAUUAACGAAAGUUAGGAUUGUAUAGAAAGUAGUCGCAGUCGCUUCAACUCCAACUUGUAGAUAUAAUCUUUGAUUUUAUUUACGAGUGAGGUGAGAAACAACUAUUAAAGUUGGGAAUUUUAAUUUUGUUAAGAAAUUAAAGACCUGU